GAGUUUGAUCAUGGCUCAGAUUGAACGCUGGCGGCAGGCCUAACACAUGCAAGUCGGGCGGUAGAGAGAAGCUUGCUUCUCUUGAGAGGCGGCGGACGGGUGAGUAAUGCCUAGGAAUCUGCCUGGUAGUGGGGGAUAACGCUCGGAAACGGACGCUAAUACCGCAUACGUCCUACGGGAGAAAGCAGGGGACCUUCGGGCCUUGCGCUAUCAGAUGAGCCUAGGUCGGAUUAGCUAGUUGGUGAGGUAAUGGCUCACCAAGGCGACGAUCCGUAACUGGUCUGAGAGGAUGAUCAGUCACACUGGAACUGAGACACGGUCCAGACUCCUACGGGAGGCAGCAGUGGGGAAUAUUGGACAAUGGGCGAAAGCCUGAUCCAGCCAUGCCGCGUGUGUGAAGAAGGUCUUCGGAUUGUAAAGCACUUUAAGUUGGGAGGAAGGGCAGUAAAUUAAUACUUUGCUGUUUUGACGUUACCGACAGAAUAAGCACCGGCUAACUCUGUG
Molecule: ribosomal RNA, 504 nt
Filed under: uncultured bacterium
Lineage: Bacteria
Description: bacterial SSU rRNA
Rfam family: Bacterial small subunit ribosomal RNA
Source: RNAcentral